AGUCAAUAGAUACCCGGGUAGUCCACGCCGUAAACGAUGAUAACUAGCUGUCGGGGGCCAUGGGCUUUCGGUGGCGCAGCUAAACGCAUUAAGUUAUCCGCCUGGGGAGUACGGCCGCAAGGUUAAAACUCAAAGAAAUUGACGGGGGCCUGCACAAGCGGUGGAGCAUGUGGUUUAAAUUCGAAGCAACGCGCAGAACCUUACCAGCGUUUGACAUCCUGAUCGCGGUUACCAGAGAUGGUUUCCUUCAGUUCGGCUGGAUCAGUGACAGGUGCUGCAUGGCUGUCGUCAGCUCGUGUCGUGAGAUGUUGGGUUUAAGUCCCGCAACGAGCGCAACCCUCGUCUUUAGUUGCCAUCAUUUAGUUGGGCACUCUAAAGAAACCGCCGGUGAUAAGCCGGAGGAAGGUGGGGAUGACGUCAAGUCCUCAUGGCCCUUACGCGCUGGGCUACACACGUGCUACAAUGGCGGUGACAACGGGCUGCUACCUCGCGAGGGGAAGCUAAUCCCAAAAAGCCGUCUCAGUUCGGAUUGUUCUCU
This 538-nucleotide ribosomal RNA is filed under the name uncultured bacterium. Its description in RNAcentral is "bacterial SSU rRNA". It matches the Rfam family "Bacterial small subunit ribosomal RNA", at positions 775 to 1306 of the family's 1533-position model. The record is from RNAcentral.